UCUGAGCAUACAUUCAUGAGAAACAGGGAGGCAUCUUGCCAACUUGAAAGUCAAGUCAACCAUUUUUGUGGUCUGCCAUUGGCUGUCCCUCUCUCCAGUCUCCCUUUGCCAUCAGGUUACAGGUCUGAAGAUGCCUGGUUUGAUUGAUCAACUUGAACCCAGAGAUCCUGGAAUGACAUCUGAAGCCUCCAAUUGUCACUACAGGAAGUCUUGGGCUUGGUGGACCCUACAGACAAUGAUGAUAACAAGAGUUGAGAAUUCAAAAACACCAACUUAUAAUUCUCGCCUACAACUUGUGGGAAGAAAAAGGUAGGAAGACACCACGGCACAUGGGGAAGAGUUGAAGGAACUGUACAUCUCUUUCUGGAGGUUCAGAGUGCCUACCUUGCAAUUGGAAUGAGAUAUUUUGUCCAAAAUUGAUGACAUUGAAACAUCACCUAAAUUACAAUUUGUCAGGACAAUUAAAGGAUGGAUUGA
Molecule: long non-coding RNA, 477 nt
Organism: Suricata suricatta (meerkat)
Lineage: Eukaryota; Metazoa; Chordata; Mammalia; Carnivora; Herpestidae
Exons: 3
Source: RefSeq, a predicted model, not a curated record